RNAcentral lists this transfer RNA (63 nucleotides) under Olidiana ritcheriina. RNAcentral describes it as "tRNA-Tyr". Lineage: Eukaryota; Metazoa; Arthropoda; Insecta; Hemiptera; Cicadellidae. The record is from RNAcentral.
GUUAAGAUGUCUGAAAAAAGUAAUAAAUUGUAAGUUUAUUUAUGAAUUAAAAUUCUCUUAAUA